Molecule: ribosomal RNA, 440 nt
Filed under: uncultured bacterium
Lineage: Bacteria
Description: partial 16S ribosomal RNA
Rfam family: Bacterial small subunit ribosomal RNA
Source: RNAcentral
CCUACGGGUGGCAGCAGUAGGGAAUAUUGCUCAAUGGGGGAAACCCUGAAGCAGCAACGCCGCGUGGAGGAUGAAGGUUUUCGGAUUGUAAACUCCUUUUGUUAGAGAAGAUAAUGACGGUAUCUAACGAAUAAGCACCGGCUAACUCCGUGCCAGCAGCCGCGGUAAUACGGAGGGUGCAAGCGUUAUUCGGAAUCACUGGGCGUAAAGAGCGCGUAGGCGGGAGAGCAAGUCAGAUGUGAAAUCCUAUGGCUUAACCAUAGGACUGCAUUUGAAACUGUUAUUCUAGAGUAUGGGAGAGGUAGGUGGAAUUCUUGGUGUAGGGGUAAAAUGCGUAGAGAUCAAGAGGAAUACUCAUUGCGAAGGCGACCUGCUAGAACAUAACUGACGCUGAUGCGCGAAAGCGUGGGGAGCAAACAGGAUUAGAUACCCGAGUAGUC